This is a long non-coding RNA of Thalassophryne amazonica, 104 nucleotides long. RefSeq lists it as uncharacterized. The transcript has 4 exons. NCBI's taxonomy places the organism in Eukaryota, Metazoa, Chordata, Actinopteri, Batrachoidiformes, Batrachoididae. The record is from RefSeq and is a predicted model, not a curated record.
GGCCAGCUGCAUUUUCAACAGGAUGGGGUCAAUAAAAAUUACACAGGGGUCAAAAUUUAAAAAUGCUCCAAUCAUCUUGAAAACUAUACCCCAUUAUUUGUCUG